Long non-coding RNA from Ictidomys tridecemlineatus (thirteen-lined ground squirrel), 341 nucleotides. RefSeq lists it as uncharacterized. The record is from RefSeq and is a predicted model, not a curated record. Lineage: Eukaryota; Metazoa; Chordata; Mammalia; Rodentia; Sciuridae.
CUUUGAACUUGCAGUCCUCCUAACAGCCUCCUGAGCCACUAGGAUUACAGUUUGGACAAGACACAUCUCAGGUGCUCAAGAGCCAUUUAUCAAAAGAGAAGACCUAAUCCAUCACCUGAGAGCUGGAAGAAUUCUCAAGAAAUGCAUUACUUGUCUGCUCCUGCAACAUUUUCUUCCUUGAAGAGUUGAAGGCGGCAUAAGGGUUUAAUUUGCCAGACUUGUCCGCAGAGCCUUGGUACCACAGGAACCCACUGAAAGUUAAUACUGUAAACUUGUCAUACUUUGACUUCAAUAAAGUAAAUGUGUCACUAAGUAUCAACCAACACCAGGUUGUUCAGUAA